This 859-nucleotide long non-coding RNA is filed under the name Citrus sinensis (sweet orange). RNAcentral's name for it is "long non-coding RNA (CSIN_LNC002622)". Lineage: Eukaryota; Viridiplantae; Streptophyta; Magnoliopsida; Sapindales; Rutaceae. The record is from RNAcentral.
GCGACUCGAGUCACGAAGAGUCCUGUGACUUGCGAGAGGUGACAUGUAACUAUGAGAAAUUGAAAUAUUUGAUUAUCGAGUAAAUAACAUUGAGUUCCCUAUAUUUUUAUUUUUAGUAAAUAACGAUACAUUAGUUUCAGUUUAUUUCAAAUAGGUUCCUCAUCCUUUGCCAGUGACCAAGUUGUGCAACCCUAACAUCCACAGCACCUCUUUUCGCUUCAAUCAUGACCGGAGCAUCAGAGCUUGAGUCUAUCCUUUUAUGUUCAUCUCCGUCUUGUUCUUCAUCCAUUUUUGCAUCUUCUACAUGAAUGGCUUCUGGUUCUUUGGUUUGAUUUUCUUCUGUGCUGCCUUUUGGUUCUCUCCCUUCGCCGACUUGUUCAGCCACUUUCGUAGUUUCAAUUCUGGAGCUCUGAAGGGGGCCAGUCAAUGAAGCUGUAGCUGAGUCCAUCAAUGCUGAUUCCUCAGUUUUUAUUUCCCCUGAUUCUUGUGGUUGUUGCUCUCCUUCGAGGUUAAUCUUUGCUUUUUGUGGAGUUUCUGUGGUUCCUUAUUGCUCAAAAAUUUUUGGCGCAAACUCAUCUCCAGUUUGAACUGGUGUGUAUGGGCGCUCAAUGAGAUCUGCUUCAGUUGUUGCAUAAGAGCUUUUCUCUAACUCACUAGUUUCUUGAAUGAUUUUGCUGUCUGUUGCAAACCCCCUUAUGCUUUCUUUUUGUGACAUCGCCAUACUCGAUUCUUGAUAAAAUUAAAAGUAAAGCUGCUCAAAUUGUGAAAAAUAAAAGAAAAACCGAAAUGUCUAAUUAAUAUCUGCAAGCAAAAUGGCUUUCAUAAUUUAGCUGCAUUCUUGUCCUACUAAGUUAUGUUU